UUAAAUUGAAGAGUUUGAUCAUGGCUCAGAUUGAACGCUGGCGGCAGGCCUAACACAUGCAAGUCGAACGGUAACAGAAAGCAGCUUGCUGCUUUGCUGACGAGUGGCGGACGGGUGAGUAAUGUCUGGGAAACUGCCUGAUGGAGGGGGAUAACUACUGGAAACGGUAGCUAAUACCGCAUAACGUCGCAAGACCAAAGAGGGGGACC
This 209-nucleotide ribosomal RNA is filed under the name Escherichia coli. Its description in RNAcentral is "partial 16S ribosomal RNA". It matches the Rfam family "Bacterial small subunit ribosomal RNA", at positions 1 to 215 of the family's 1533-position model. Lineage: Bacteria; Pseudomonadati; Pseudomonadota; Gammaproteobacteria; Enterobacterales; Enterobacteriaceae. The record is from RNAcentral.